UGAGUACGAGAUGCUACGGCGUCGAAGCAGUCUAGGUCAUACUUCCAAGAAAAGCUUGCACUGUCAUAAACAAAGAAUGCCUGUACCAUAACCGACACAGGUGGGUAGGUAGAGUAUACUAAGGGGCGCGAGAUAACUCUCUCUAAGGAACUCGGCAAAAUGACUCCGUAACUUCGGGAGGAGGAGUGCCUUAUUUUUAAGGUUGCAAUAACAAGAUCCAAGCAACUGUUUACCAAAAACACAGGUCUCCGCUAAGUCGUAAGACGAUGUAUGGGGGCUGACGCCUGCCCAGUGCCAGAAGGUUAAAGAAGUUGGUUAGCAUUUGCGAAGCUGAUAACUGAAGCCCUGGUGAACGGCGGCCGUAACAAUAACGGUCCUAAGGUAGCGAAAUUCCUUGUCGGGUAGGUUCCGACCCGCACGAAAGGCGUAAUGAUUUGGAUACUGUCUCGGAGAGGGGCUCGGUGAAAUAGACUUGUCUGUGAAGAUGCGGACUACCUGCACCUGGACAGAAAGACCCUAUGAAGCUUUACUGUAACUUGAGAUUGAAAUUGGACUUUAUUUGCGCAGUAUAGGUGGGAGGCGUUGAGAAUAAUCUUGCGGGAUUAUCGGAGCCAUCAGUGAGAUACCACUCUUGUAAUGUUAGAUUUCUAACUUUGUAUCAUUAUCUGGUCAAAGAACAGUUUCAGGCGGGCAGUUUGACUGGGGCGGUCGCCUCCCAAAGGGUAACGGAGGCGCACAAAGGUUUCCUCUGAACGGGUAGAAAUCGUAUCUAGAGUGUAAAGGCAUAAGGAAGCUUGACUGUGAGACCUACAAGUCGAGCAGGGACGAAAGUCGGUCUUAGUGAUCUGACGGUGCUGAGUGGAAAGGCCGUCACUCAACGGAUAAAAGUUACUCUAGGAUAACAGGCUGAUCUCCCCCAAGAGUUCACAUCGACGGGGAGGUUUGGCACCUCGAUGUCGGCUCAUCGCAUCCUGGGGCGGUAGUACGUCCCAAGGGUUGGGCUGUUCGCCCAUGAAAGCGGUACGCGAGCUGGGUUCAGAACGUCGUGAGACAGUUCGGUCCAUAUCCGGUGUAGGCGUUAGAAUAUUGAAAGGAGCCUUCUCUAGUACGAGAGGACCGAGAAGGACAUACCUCUGGUGUGCCAGUUAUCGUGCCAACGGUAAACGCUGGGUAGCUAUGUAUGGAGUGGAUAACCGCUGAAAGCAUCUAAGUGGGAAGCCCACCUUAAGAUAAG
This 1234-nucleotide ribosomal RNA is filed under the name metagenome. Its description in RNAcentral is "bacterial LSU rRNA". It matches the Rfam family "Bacterial large subunit ribosomal RNA", at positions 1564 to 2808 of the family's 2925-position model. The record is from RNAcentral.